This 514-nucleotide ribosomal RNA is filed under the name uncultured bacterium. Its description in RNAcentral is "bacterial SSU rRNA". It matches the Rfam family "Bacterial small subunit ribosomal RNA", at positions 8 to 539 of the family's 1533-position model. The record is from RNAcentral.
AUAGUUUGAUCCUGGCUCACAUUGAACGCUGGGGGUUUGCUUAACACAUGCAAGUCGAACGGUAACAGGUCUAGCUUGCUAGAUGCUGACGAGUGGCGGACGGGUGAGUAACGCGUAGGAAUCUGCCUUUUAGUUUGGGACAACACGAGGAAACUCGUGCUAAUACCGGAUAAGCCCUUCGGGGGAAAGACUUCGGUCGCUAUUAGAGGAGCCUGCGUUAGAUUAGCUUGUUGGUGGGGUAAAGGCCUACCAAGGCAGAGAUCUAUAGCUGUUUUGAGAGGAAGAACAGCCACACUGGAACUGAGACACGGUCCAGACUCCUACGGGAGGCAGCGGUGGGGAAUAUUGGACAAUGGGGGAAACCCUGAUCCAGCAAUACCGCGUGUGUGAAGAAGGCCUGAGGGUUGUAAAGCACUUUAGUUGGGGAGGAAGACUACUUCGGUAGUUUGACGUUACCCAAAGAAUAAUCACCGGCUAACUCUGUGCCAUCUGCCUCGGUAAUAAGGGCGAAUUC